AUGAUUAUCAAUAAUAAUGAAUUCAACCCGAUGGUCGUUUGGAAGAAGAAGAAAAAUGAACAGAGGAGAUCGCAGAUCCAUGGUAACAGGAACAUAGGAGAUGGCGGUGAGAAUGAAGCGAUGGGGAAGGAGGUGGCGGGGAAGCUGGAGGAACGACUGAAAAAGGCUCGUAGAGCUCUGGAGUCAUGUAUGCGGGCGCCGGUGUUUGAAGAGAAAAUAAGGGAAGAAGCUAGACUGCGCUGUGUGGUGGAGGAUCUGGAAGCUAAAAAGAAUACUAAAGCAAAGCAACAUUCGCAUGUUUCCUGGUUGCGUGAUGGCAACUAG
This 324-nucleotide ribosomal RNA is filed under the name Triticum aestivum (bread wheat). RNAcentral describes it as "partial small subunit ribosomal RNA". Lineage: Eukaryota; Viridiplantae; Streptophyta; Magnoliopsida; Poales; Poaceae. The record is from RNAcentral.